GGGUGCCUAAACACAUAUUUUCCACUUUGCAAAAUUGCCAACAGACCCUACCUCUUCCCCUUCUUCUCCUCCCCGUAUAUCACCUCCCUCUUCCGUACACCUUCCAUUUCCAGCCACCACCCUUCAUCCCUCGCCUGCUGUGAGCUGUCCUUGACGUCCCCAACUCGUUUCCAACAUCCUUUCUGCCUGCAGCAGACGAGGAAGAGGCACUUGAGAGGAGGAAAGCUUCCCUCCUCGCUGUCACCUUCGGAUCAGCCUCCUACUGCCGCCCUUUGCUCCACCUGACAUCGGAAAUAGCACCCUCACCCUCCAAAGCCUUCGAACCAAGCCUCCCCGCCUCUAUCGUCAUAUGUAGCUUCCGUAUAGCCUUGUUGGAGCAUAAUUAUUUUCUCUUCAAUCUAGUGUUUUCUGAUAAUCCGACGAUUCAGCCCAUUCCAUCCGAGGCGUAGGAGCAACUUUAGGGAGUCGUUAGAACUUGUCAACUAGGUCUUCCGCAGUUCUUCUCCUUUGACAGCCCGACUUCCUUCUUCUUCGGGCUUAAUGUGAUUGAUUUUAUUUGUAUAUCUGAUUAUUAAGAAUAUAGAUUUUCUCUGAUAGUGAUUCUAAAACUUAUUAUUUUAUUUUAGCUUAUUAAACCAAUUGGAUAAAUAUUAUCUAAUUGUGCUGACGAACUAAGUUAAAUAUAUAUUAUUUAUGUGAUUGAAUAUUAGUAAUGAAAUAUUGAUGUAAUGGGUAAGAUUUUAUUUUAAUUGAGUUAUU
Molecule: long non-coding RNA, 759 nt
Organism: Ricinus communis (castor bean)
Lineage: Eukaryota; Viridiplantae; Streptophyta; Magnoliopsida; Malpighiales; Euphorbiaceae
Exons: 3
Source: RefSeq, a predicted model, not a curated record